RNAcentral lists this ribosomal RNA (206 nucleotides) under uncultured bacterium. RNAcentral's name for it is "partial 16S ribosomal RNA". It matches the Rfam family "Bacterial small subunit ribosomal RNA", at positions 568 to 774 of the family's 1533-position model. The record is from RNAcentral.
CGCGCAGGCGGCUGGUCAAGUCCACGUGAAAUCUCCCGGCUUAACUGGGAAAUUGCAUCGGAAACUGAUCGGCUUGAAGGUGGGAGAGGGUAGCGGAAUUCCCGGUGUAGUGGUGAAAUGCGUAGAUAUCGGGAGGAACACCAGUGGCGAAGGCGGCUACCUGGCCCAUUCUUGACGCUGAGGCGCGAAAGCUAGGGGAGCAAACG